CCUGUCGGUGUAACUGGCAUGUCGCGGCAUGUCCUGUCGGUGGUGAGCGGGAUUCCCGGUGCAGCGUAGGCUUUUAUGUCCGAACCUUUGCCGUGGGUAAUUCCGUUUGCCGAUCUCUCCUACUCCGGUGCUCUUAAACGAGUGUCGAGGUAGGCCGACACGUUCACUUUGAACAAAUUAGAGUGCUUAAAGCAGGCUGAAAUAUCUGCCUGAAUAGUGGUGCAUGGAAUGAUAAAAUAGGACCUCGGUUCUAUUUUGUUGGUUUUAGGAAUAUGAGGUAAUGAUCAAUGUGGACUGGCGGGGGCAUUCGUAUUGCGACGUUAGAGGUGAAAUUCUUGGAUCGUCGCAAGACGCACUAGAGCGAAAGCAUUUGCCAAGUAUGUCUUAAUUGAUCAAGAACGAAAGUUAGAGGUUCGAAGGCGAUCAGAUACCGCCCUAGUUCUAACCAUAAACGAUGCCAGCCAGCAAA
This 469-nucleotide ribosomal RNA is filed under the name Sirthenea ferdinandi. RNAcentral's name for it is "SSU rRNA". It matches the Rfam family "Eukaryotic small subunit ribosomal RNA", at positions 650 to 1053 of the family's 1831-position model. Lineage: Eukaryota; Metazoa; Arthropoda; Insecta; Hemiptera; Reduviidae. The record is from RNAcentral.